This 701-nucleotide long non-coding RNA is filed under the name Rattus norvegicus (Norway rat). RNAcentral's name for it is "long non-coding RNA NONRATT009336". The record is from RNAcentral. Lineage: Eukaryota; Metazoa; Chordata; Mammalia; Rodentia; Muridae.
UCAAAAAUAUGGACACGGAGAAGUUCCUCAAGUUCUUCACGUACCUCCAUCGCCUCGGUUGCUAUCAACACAUCCUGCUCUUUGGCUGUAGCCUCGCCUUCCCCAAGUGCAUUGUUGAUGGCGAUGACAGGCAUGGCCUCCUACCCUGUAGAUCUUUCUGUGAGGCUGCAAAAGAAGGAUGUGAAUCAGUCCUGGGAAUGGUGAACUCCUCCUGGCCAGAUUCCCUCAGAUGCUCUCAGUUUAGAUACCACACUGAGAAUAACAGCGACGCCAGCAGGAUCUGCUUCUCACUGCAGCAGGAGCAUGGAAAGCAAUUUCUUCUGAAGAACUUCCAAGCCACCCAUGCAUGCUUAAAAUCCCAGCACUCAGGGGGUCAUGGAGCAGUUUAAAGCCAGCUUUAUUUACAAGAAUGUCCUGUCGCAAGAAAACCAACCCAAGCCAAACCAAACCAAGCCAAACAAACAACAACAGCAACAGAGAGAAACGUCUGGAUUGACUUUACUGGGAUUAGAAUUUCAUCUUGCUCCGAAUUGAACUUACUCUCUGAAACCAUCUCAUCUCUGACAUUGUUUUGAUCGAUGGAGCAGUGAACUUGCACACCGUGGGCCAUGAUGGUUCUGUGAGAACCACAGUCCCUGUCUGCCUUUGCUGUGUGCGUACCCAGCCAGAAAAGCCAUGGCCAAUAAAACCUCUUUCCCGUC